AUACGUAGGUGACAAGCGUUAUCCGGAUUUACUGGGUGUAAAGGGCGUGUAGGCGGUUUAGCAAGUCAGAAGUGAAAUUCCCGGGCUUAACUUGGGCGCUGCUUCUGAAACUGCUUUACUUGAGUGCUGGAGAGGAUAGUGGAAUUCCUAGUGUAGCGGUAAAAUGCGCAGAUAUUAGGAGGAACACCGGUGGCGAAGGCGGCUAUCUGGACAGUAACUGACGCUGAGGCGCGAAAGCACAGGGAGCAAACAGGAUUAGAUACCCUGGUAGUCCGUGCCGUAAACGAUGAAUACUAGGUGUAGGGGGUAUCGACUCCCUCUGUGCCGCAGUUAACACAUUAAGUAUUCCACCUGGGGAGUACGGCCGCAAGGUUGAAACUCAAAUGAAUUGACGGGG
This 397-nucleotide ribosomal RNA is filed under the name uncultured bacterium. Its description in RNAcentral is "partial 16S ribosomal RNA". It matches the Rfam family "Bacterial small subunit ribosomal RNA", at positions 523 to 918 of the family's 1533-position model. The record is from RNAcentral.